Molecule: long non-coding RNA, 474 nt
Filed under: Terrapene triunguis (Three-toed box turtle)
Lineage: Eukaryota; Metazoa; Chordata; Testudines; Emydidae
Description: Terrapene carolina triunguis (Three-toed box turtle) lncRNA (ENSTMTG00000014071.1)
Source: RNAcentral
GUCCCGCCCCGCCCAGCGCGCACUGAGCCGGCUGCGCCCGGGGCCCCGCGGGGCGAGCGCCGGGGACGCGGCCCCAGCCCGAGGGUCCCGCAGCAGGCGCUGUCCAGCGUCGCAGCCCCGAUACCAGGCUAGAUGGGCCCCUGCUCUCACUGGGCCUGGCAGGUCCCGAGCAGCAGCUUGUGCAUCCCCCAGAGCCUGGACACGCAGGGAGGUGGCCAGGAGCAUCUGCCAGGCAGAGUGGACCCUGUACAGAGACCCAGUGCGGGAAGACAUGCAGGAGCCCAAGUUCACAGCUGCUGUGGCCUUGGCACCUCCUUCAGCCCUUUCCUAGAGCAAAGAGCUGCCAGAAAUCUCCUCCCCGUGGCCGUGCUCGGCUACCCAGCUCAGUGCUCUGUAGCCCCAGGGAACCGUCCUGGUCAGGCAGUUCUCAAGCUGCAUCGGGAAACUAGGCGACGGAGCCAUGAGUGAGAGCGA